UAGGCGAUGGUGUUUUAAUGAGAGAGAAUGAGAGUUUAGACAUUGAGAGGUUCUCAGACUCGUUGAAGCCGAAGAGCAAGUCUAAUAAUAAGGGAUCUUUCUAUGAUUUUCUUGUUCUUAGACCUGAUAACUUCCCUAAAGAACUUCUUGGAGAUAAUCGAAGAGAACGGCCUGUGAAGAGAGCAAAAUGGAGUCAAGAAGCAGAUUUGUUGAAAUUGGAUGUGUUUGAAAAGCUUGAAGCUAAGCAUAAGGCUGAAGGCGCGGAGGAGAAAGAAGAAGGAGAAGAUGAUGAAGAAGUUGAGGAAUCAGAUGGAGAAGAAUCUGAUAACGGAGAUUAUGAUCAGAAUCAAGACUUUGAUGAUGAUGACGAUGAUUAUAAUCAGGCGGAUGAUGAUUUUGAAGCAGUUUAUUGAGAGCACCCUUCUGUUUCCCAAAUGAAUCAAGUUUUGCAGACAACAGAAGCUGAGCAUGUCCCAAGCUUUAGGGGUUUUAGCUGAAACCGUUCAAAUCAAACUGUUUCGGACGCGUUCUGCCAUACUCUCCGUCACGUGUAUUAAGCUGUACGGGUAUGUGUUUUGAGCUUGCAAUCUUCACCAUUCUCGUUGAAACUUUUCUUCUUUAUACUCUGUUGUUGCUACUCCCUCCUCUGUGUUCAUGUAAUCCCACUCCUAUUGGCAAUCUUUUAGUGCUUCUCCUUGAAGACGAGAUUCUCAGUUCUGUGUUGUUAAUCAUUGUGGAAAGAUAUGGCCUGUUAUGAUUAUCUCUGAGGCCUUCUUCUUCUGCCCAUGUGAGAUCCAUUUUAUGGUUGAAUGGCUCUUUCAUUUUCUCUUUCUGCUCUAAGUUGAAUCUCCAAUAUAUGUUCUUAAUCCCAGUCUGUUCUCCAGCAUCUUUGGGGCUUUCUGGGAUUCUUCAGUUAAGGUUAAGCAACUGUCCAGGGAAGAGUUAGGUUGAUAAGUUGUUUGCAUCUGUUGAUGGCGUAGAUUCUGCAGGUCUUUUGGUUCUAGGAAACUAAAGUCUGGAUAUUCUGGUGACACUUAAGUUUCUCAUUCUUAGAGUUGAGUUUUGUUGCUUCAAUUCCAGCUGCACCUAAGUUCUGUCUUCCAAGAGUCUCUUGUCCUUUCUCCAGAAUUGAUUACAGGUACUUUCCUUGAGCCUCUAUCCUGAGCUGCAAAUGUCGCUAUACCUGGCUCAGUUUAAUAUGUUUUAAUGAAAUCAUAUAAACUAAAUGCUUAGUUCUUGUGUCUUUUUCAUGAGAGUUAGUGAACUUGGCUCGACUUGAUUGGUCUUGUUACUACACAUAUAGGAACAAAAAAAUCCAGAUAACACUUAUUGCAGCCUUAAUUAUAGUGAAUCCACAGAGUACAGUAUAUGAUACCUCAAGUUGCUCGUGUAACCUUCUCUGAAUUUCUGUUUGCAUUUGAACGGCAUCACUUAUGGGCAAGUUCCUGGUUGCACUAAUCUCUCACUGUUUCUUUCGUCUGCUUCAGAGGGAUUUUCUUCUACCAUGGUCAUCAAACCUAAAACAGGUUACUUAAUACUUAAUGUCUAUAAGGCUGAUUAUCAAAGAUGGUUGUAUUAGCUAAUACUAAUAGCAUGACUUGCUAUCUCCUCGAAGCUGGCUUCAUUAAUUGAAUAAGAGUUACAUGAUAUGACAUAAGGUUUACAUUUUUUUUUAUUUGUUUUCCAUGUAUGCAGAAAUAAAAAAAAAGGUUUAGGCAUGGUGAUGUUGAAAACAGUCAUGAUUGCCUUGAGCUUCGUAAGAGUUGGUAAGGCUGCCAGUUCUCCUUAUUUCUCUGGCCAGUCUCUUUUGUGAGCGGAAGUUUUUGAUGUUUUGCUAUGCGGAAGUUUCCAACUGGAUUGAUGAUAUAGGUUGUUAAUUUCAUGAGACAUAUUUGGCUUGAUAAUAUUGCUGCAAUCUGAUUGAUGCUGGAGUUUAUUAUAGUCAGAUUGAACAGUAGAGCCAAUGAGGAAGGGUCUAGACAGGCUACAUCUUUGCACAUUAUAAUCCCAAUUUCCAACAUAUGUCCCAAUCAAGUAUACUCUUUUUUCUGGCUCUGGCUCCUAUCAUAUAUAUAUAGCUCUGUAUACAUUUGUUGAACACAUUCUGUCCCAUCUGCAAUGGCAACAUUAAUAACCAUCUGCACUGUUACAAGCCUACAAACUUGUACGGCCUUGUGUUUUUACUUUUUUCAAACGGCCUUGUGUUUUUACUUUUUCAAAAGUCAAACAGAAUCUUCUUAUUGAAGAGUACCUUGUUCGUUAGUUAUAUAAUAUUCGGCUUAUUGAGGUGAAA
This is an RNA transcript of Camelina sativa (false flax), 2293 nucleotides long. RefSeq lists it as uncharacterized. NCBI's taxonomy places the organism in Eukaryota, Viridiplantae, Streptophyta, Magnoliopsida, Brassicales, Brassicaceae. The record is from RefSeq and is a predicted model, not a curated record.